This 636-nucleotide ribosomal RNA is filed under the name Gambierdiscus caribaeus. Its description in RNAcentral is "partial large subunit ribosomal RNA". It matches the Rfam family "Eukaryotic large subunit ribosomal RNA", at positions 43 to 651 of the family's 3401-position model. The record is from RNAcentral. Lineage: Eukaryota; Dinophyceae; Gonyaulacales; Pyrocystaceae.
UAAGUAGGCGGAGGAAAUGACACAAACAUGGAUUCACUGGGUAACUGCGAGUGACAUGUGAUUUGCUCACAGCUGAUAUUCUUUGCUGUAUGCUUUGACAUGAGGACUUUGAGUGUGGUGCCAAUGGUGGUGUAAGUGUGAGCCAUCUUGGAAAAGAGAAGAGUGUGCACUUACAAGGGUGAGAAGCCAGUGUGUGCUUACAGAAUCUCCACAUGUGGGUCUCACUUUGAGAAUCAUGCUCUUUGGAAGUGGAGUGUAAAGUGGGCGGUAGACUCUUCUCAAAGCUGAGUACAGAACUGGGACAGACAGGGAAGAAGUACCAUGAGGGAAGUGUGAAAAGGACUUUUGAAAGAGACUUAAAAGAGCCUGUACGUGCUGAAGGAUACGCAUACAGCAUGCUUGCAUGUGAGAUGAUUGCUGUGGGUGUGCGGCUGUCUUUGACUGGAUGACUGUGGACAUGUGCCAUGGACACUUGACCACCUAUUGUGUAUCCUCUUGUGUGUGCCAGCAUGUUGGAGACAGUCAGUGCUUGAGCGCAGUGGUUGCUGUGCAUCUCAAGAUACAUCAGAUGUGCACUCAAAGAUCUGAGCAUGUUGAAAAGCAGGUGCAGAAGGGCCCUCCUGUCUGUAUGACCCG